RNAcentral lists this non-coding RNA (179 nucleotides) under Anaerolineae bacterium. Its description in RNAcentral is "6S RNA". It matches the Rfam family "6S / SsrS RNA". From Rfam's summary of the family: E. coli 6S RNA was the first non coding RNA to be sequenced, but its function was unknown until recently. It consists of 184 nucleotides that fold into an extended hairpin structure with a large single-stranded internal bulge. Lineage: Bacteria; Bacillati; Chloroflexota; Anaerolineae. The record is from RNAcentral.
CAUACCCUGCUGUGUGCGUGAUGGGUAUCAAGCGUUGAGCCAACGUCUACUAUACUGGGAAGUGGCUUACGGUGAGGCAAUGUAGUAGCCUUCGGGCGAGGCAGAACCCUCACGACAACAUAUUCCCACCUGCGUUAGCAGGUUCAACCAAGAAGCCCACACGGCACGGCGGGGUGCCC